Molecule: transfer RNA, 64 nt
Filed under: Rattus norvegicus (Norway rat)
Lineage: Eukaryota; Metazoa; Chordata; Mammalia; Rodentia; Muridae
Description: tRNA-Tyr
Rfam family: tRNA
About the family: Transfer RNA (tRNA) molecules are approximately 80 nucleotides in length.
Source: RNAcentral
GGUAAAUGGCUGAGUAAGCAUUAGACUGUAAAUCUAAAGACAGGGGUUGAGCCCCCUUUUACCA